AUUGAACGCUGGCGGCAGGCCUAACACAUGCAAGUCGAACGGUAACAGGAAGAAGCUUGCUUCUUUGCUGACGAGUGGCGGACGGGUGAGUCAUGUCUGGGAAACUGCCUGAUGGAGGGGGAUAACUACUGGAACCGGUAGCUAAUACCGCAUAACGUCGCAAGCCCAAAGAGGGGGACCUUCGGGCCUCUUGCCAUCGGAUGUGCCCAGAUGGGAUUAGCUAGUAGGUGGGGUAACGGCUCACCUAGGCGACGAUCCCUAGCUGGUCUGAGAGGAUGACCAGCCACACUGGAACUGAGACACGGUCCAGACUCCUACGGGAGGCAGCAGUGGGGAAUAUUGCACAAUGGGCGCAAGCCUGAUGCAGCAAUGCCGCGUGUAUGAAGAAGGCCUUCGGGUUGUAAAGUACUUUCAGCGGGGAGGAAGGGAGUAAAGUUAAUACCUUCGCUCAUUGACGUUACCCGCAGAAGAAGCACCGGCUAACUCCGUG
RNAcentral lists this ribosomal RNA (490 nucleotides) under uncultured bacterium. RNAcentral's name for it is "partial 16S ribosomal RNA". It matches the Rfam family "Bacterial small subunit ribosomal RNA", at positions 30 to 507 of the family's 1533-position model. The record is from RNAcentral.